GAAUGCAGGAGUGAUCUGGCAGUGACAUCUGUCACUCCUCUGACAGCUGGGGUUGAUUCAGUUGAUCUGGCUGACUAGAUGAGUGUCCCUCUUCCCCUCACCACCCCAGGUGUGUUCUUCCCUGAGCUGCACACUCCAUCAAAGAGGACAGAAUUCCUGAAUGGAGACAGCCUAGUCUUUGGUGGAUGCUUCUGUACUCUCUUGCUAGAACCUCCAAACAAGCUCUCAAGGUCCAUUUGGGGUACUGCCACACCAAUUUGAGAUAUGUGCCAGAAUUUCACAUUGUAACUACAUUAUAGUAGACUUUACAUCUUA
RNAcentral lists this small nuclear RNA (315 nucleotides) under Erinaceus europaeus (western European hedgehog). RNAcentral describes it as "7SK RNA". It matches the Rfam family "7SK RNA". Rfam says of the family: 7SK was discovered as an abundant small nuclear RNA in the mid-70s but a possible function has only recently been suggested. Two independent studies have found that 7SK RNA binds the CDK9/cyclin T complex (known as elongation factor P-TEFb). The record is from Rfam by way of RNAcentral. Lineage: Eukaryota; Metazoa; Chordata; Mammalia; Eulipotyphla; Erinaceidae.